This 207-nucleotide ribosomal RNA is filed under the name uncultured bacterium. Its description in RNAcentral is "partial 16S ribosomal RNA". It matches the Rfam family "Bacterial small subunit ribosomal RNA", at positions 568 to 774 of the family's 1533-position model. The record is from RNAcentral.
CGUGCAGGUGGUCUGUUAAGUUCGGCGUGAAAGCGCCCGGCUAAACCGGGCGAGGUCGUCGGAGACUGGCGGACUAGAGGACGGUAGAGGCGGGUGGAAUUCCGGGUGUAGUGGUGAAAUGCGUAGAGAUCCGGGGGAACACCAGUGGCGAAGGCGACCCGCUGGGCCGUACCUGACACUAAUACGCGACAGCAUGGGGAGCGAACG